Molecule: ribosomal RNA, 451 nt
Filed under: uncultured organism
Description: partial 16S ribosomal RNA
Rfam family: Bacterial small subunit ribosomal RNA
Source: RNAcentral
ACACUCCUGCGGGAGGCAGCAGUGGGGAAUAUUGGACAAUGGGCGCAAGCCUGAUCCAGCCAUGCCGCGUGAGUGAUGAAGGCCCUAGGGUUGUAAAGCUCUUUCACCGGUGAAGAUAAUGACGGUAACCGGAGAAGAAGCCCCGGCUAACUUCGUGCCAGCAGCCGCGGUAAUACGAAGGGGGCUAGCGUUGUUCGGAUUUACUGGGCGUAAAGCGCACGUAGGCGGACUAUUAAGUCAGGGGUGAAAUCCCGGGGCUCAACCCCGGAACUGCCUUUGAUACUGGUAGUCUUGAGUUCGAGAGAGGUGAGUGGAAUUCCGAGUGUAGAGGUGAAAUUCGUAGAUAUUCGGAGGAACACCAGUGGCGAAGGCGGCUCACUGGCUCGAUACUGACGCUGAGGUGCGAAAGCGUGGGGAGCAAACAGGAUGAGAAACCCUGGUAGUCCCAUGA